Molecule: ribosomal RNA, 500 nt
Filed under: uncultured bacterium
Lineage: Bacteria
Description: partial 16S ribosomal RNA
Rfam family: Bacterial small subunit ribosomal RNA
Source: RNAcentral
AUUGAACGCUGGCGGCAGGCCUAACACAUGCAAGUCGAGCGGAUGACGGGGGCUUGCUCCUGGAUUCAGCGGCGGACGGGUGAGUAAUGCCUAGGAAUCAGCCUGGUAGUGGGGGACAACGUUUCGAAAGGAACGCUAAUACCGCAUACGUCCUACGGGAGAAAGCAGGGGACCUUCGGGCCUUGCGCUAUCAGAUGAGCCUAGGUCGGAUUAGCUAGUUGGUGAGGUAAUGGCUCACCAAGGCGACGAUCCGUAACUGGUCUGAGAGGAUGAUCAGUCACACUGGAACUGAGACACGGUCCAGACUCCUACGGGAGGCAGCAGUGGGGAAUAUUGGACAAUGGGCGAAAGCCUGAUCCAGCCAUGCCGCGUGUGUGAAGAAGGUCUUCGGAUUGUAAAGCACUUUAAGUUGGGAGGAAGGGCAGUAAGCGAAUACCUUGCUGUUUUGACGUUACCGACAGAAUAAGCACCGGCUAACUCUGUGCCAGCAGCCGCCGUAA